UGGGAAGAGGGCGCAGCCGCUGGUGGCAACACCAGAGGAAAGUCCGGGCAGCACAGGGCAGGAUGCCAGCUAACGGCUGGGCGGGGUAACCCGACGGAAUAGUGCAACAGAAAGCAGACGGCCGGGUCAACCCGGUCAAGGUGAAACGGUGCGGUAAGAGCGCACCAGUGCCCCUGGCAACAGGGGCAGCUAGGCAAACCCCAUCUGCUGCAAGUCCCACGUCCCGCUCAGGCGGGGCGACACGCCAGGGAGAACUGGCCCGGUUCGCUACAACCUGCGGUAGGGACGCUUGAGGUGAGCGGCGACGCUCAUCCCAGAGAGAUGGCUGCGGAAACAGAACCCGGCUUACGCCUCUUCCCAACCU
Molecule: RNase P RNA, 364 nt
Filed under: Meiothermus ruber
Lineage: Bacteria; Thermotogati; Deinococcota; Deinococci; Thermales; Thermaceae
Also listed under: 3 other names
Description: bacterial RNase P
Rfam family: Bacterial RNase P class A
About the family: Ribonuclease P (RNase P) is a ubiquitous endoribonuclease, found in archaea, bacteria and eukarya as well as chloroplasts and mitochondria. Its best characterised activity is the generation of mature 5'-ends of tRNAs by cleaving the 5'-leader elements of precursor-tRNAs.
Source: RNAcentral